AACGGGGGAUCACUUGCUCAUGGAUCGAUGAAGACCGCAGC
Molecule: ribosomal RNA, 41 nt
Filed under: Culicoides punctatus
Lineage: Eukaryota; Metazoa; Arthropoda; Insecta; Diptera; Ceratopogonidae
Description: partial 5.8S ribosomal RNA
Source: RNAcentral